AGAGUGUGUGUGUGUGUGUUGUGUGUGUAUGUGUGUGUGUUUUUGUGUGUGUGUGUGUGUGUGUGUGUGUGUGUGUGUGUGUGUGUGUGUGUUGGGGGGACCUAGGCAAGGAAGGAGAGCAAAAAUGGGGUAUAGGAGGAAGUAGCCAGCUG
Molecule: long non-coding RNA, 152 nt
Organism: Lutra lutra (Eurasian river otter)
Lineage: Eukaryota; Metazoa; Chordata; Mammalia; Carnivora; Mustelidae
Exons: 5
Source: RefSeq, a predicted model, not a curated record